UACGUAGGGACCAAGCGUUGUUCGGAUUUACUGGGCGUAAAGGGCGCGUAGGCGGCAAUUCAAGUCAUCUGUGAAAUCUCCGGGCUUAACUCGGAACGGUCAGAUGAUACUGCUUUGCUAGAGUGCAGAAGGGGCAAUCGGAAUUCUUGGUGUAGCGGUGAAAUGCGUAGAUAUCAAGAGGAACACCUGAGGUGAAGACGGGUUGCUGGGCUGACACUGACGCUGAGGCGCGAAAGCUAGGGUAGCAAACGGG
RNAcentral lists this ribosomal RNA (253 nucleotides) under uncultured bacterium. RNAcentral's name for it is "partial 16S ribosomal RNA". It matches the Rfam family "Bacterial small subunit ribosomal RNA", at positions 524 to 776 of the family's 1533-position model. The record is from RNAcentral.